Anopheles merus is the source of this 715-nucleotide long non-coding RNA. RefSeq lists it as uncharacterized. The record is from RefSeq and is a predicted model, not a curated record. The transcript has 4 exons. NCBI's taxonomy places the organism in Eukaryota, Metazoa, Arthropoda, Insecta, Diptera, Culicidae.
GCUCAAACUAUGUGCGAUAUCAACAACGAAAUGGUGCAACGUGUGAUAGUAAUAAGAAAAUGGAAAAUGGCCAUGUUUGUGAACCAGUUCUUCUAGAAUUAAACAAAAAAAGUGAGCAUUGCGAUAAAGGUGACAAUCAUUUGUGGUUAAGCUAUCCGGAUGACAGUGGUAUAAAGUGUUCCAAAAUAAUUGCUGAACCGUUUCCCUUGCGAAUAGGAAAUUUGAAUUUAGAACUAAUGCAAAUUUCAUUUGGGAAGGAUCGGUGCCGGAAUAUGCAGCGAAAAUCAUUAAAUGUUAAUAGAAAAGUGGUUAAGUUAAUCGUGAAAGAUGUCAACGCAGGCGUAAAUGCAGUAUGUUUUGUUAAAUGAUCUACAGGUAAGUGCAUGCAUAAGAAGAAGAAUCUUCCAAAUGAUGUUUGUGUUCUAACAAUCGUACUGCUUUUAAUGUUUGUUUAUUCUGUUAUUAUUUUCCAUCACACCUAGCUAUUUCAUCACCAAAGCCCCUGAUAAUAGAUCAAAGCAGAUGGAUCGGGCAUACAGAGUCGCCGUUUAAUUUAAAAUAUCUUCGUGAUCGGCAAACGCAUCAAACAGCAUAUUUUUUUUCAACAGCACGCACCAUCGGUGGAGCAAGCAGCUAACGUUUUGUUCGCCCAGCACGCACCAUCAAGUAUUGAAAUAUUUUCAAAUAGCUUUGUGAAUAAAAAACUGCACACUUA